This 39-nucleotide ribosomal RNA is filed under the name uncultured Glomeromycotina. RNAcentral describes it as "partial 5.8S ribosomal RNA". The record is from RNAcentral. Lineage: Eukaryota; Fungi; Glomeromycota.
CAAACUUGGUCAUUUAGAGGAAGUAAAAGUCGYAACAAG